RNAcentral lists this ribosomal RNA (375 nucleotides) under uncultured bacterium. Its description in RNAcentral is "bacterial SSU rRNA". It matches the Rfam family "Bacterial small subunit ribosomal RNA", at positions 524 to 898 of the family's 1533-position model. The record is from RNAcentral.
UACAGAGGGUGCAAGCGUUAAUCGGAAUUACUGGGCGUAAAGCGUGCGUAGACGGUUAUGUAAGUCGGGUGUGAAAGCCCCGGGCUCAACCUGGGAAUGCCAUUCGAGACUGCAUAGCUAGGGUGCGGAAGAGGGAAGCGGAAUUUCCGGUGUAGCGGUGAAAUGCGUAGAUAUCGGAAGGAACACCAGUGGCGAAAGCGGCUUCCUGGUCCAGCACCGACGUUCAGGCACGAAAGCGUGGGGAGCAAACAGGAUUAGAUACCCUGGUAGUCCACGCCAUAAACGAUGAGAACUAGACGUUGAGAGGGUAAGCCUCGCAGUGUCGUAGCUAACGCGCUAAGUUCUCCGCCUGGGGAGUACGGCCGCAAGGUUGAA